UUUACUCAGUGUCACUGUGUGUUGAGAAGGACAGGCCGGUGUCUAUCUCUGUUCCGAGGUACUUGAAGGACUGAACCUGCUCCACGAUCUGACCCUGGAUGCUGAGUGGCUGGAACAGUCCUGAUGGUUAAAGUCUC
Thalassophryne amazonica is the source of this 137-nucleotide long non-coding RNA. RefSeq lists it as uncharacterized. The transcript is spliced from 3 exons. The record is from RefSeq and is a predicted model, not a curated record. NCBI's taxonomy places the organism in Eukaryota, Metazoa, Chordata, Actinopteri, Batrachoidiformes, Batrachoididae.